CCGCAUUUUCGUAUAUAUAAUUGUUCAGAUUUGGACUUGGACAUCAUAUGAAAUUUACCGCAAAAAAAUCAAAAAGGACCAUGGUAGAUAAGUUUGGAAUGAUCUUCGUUAUGUGUAAGAAGUAGUAAUUUGGAAGGGCUAAUAAUCAAAAUUGAAGAAUCGGUAAGAAAAGUAUGUAAUUGCAAUCUUUUUAUUUUCAAAAUAACUUGGUAUUCCAAAUGUGCAUAACCAGAGGAUUAAUAUUAUCUGCAACAUAUGAAUGAUUCGAUAGUCCAGACUGAACACCUGAAUUUUUUAAUUGUCCAACUAUUAUGUUACAAUCUAAAGAAAUGUCGUUUUAACGCUAUUUUCUGAAAAGGGUCCACGACAUAGUCGCUAAUUAUUUCCAUUGCACUGCUCUUAGCAUAUAUUUAUUUAUAUUUUCAGAAUGUGCAUUUGCUGCUCUUUUUUGUUCGAAAAAAAAAAGAAAUAUGUUGAACGUGAAUGUUUAAAGUUAUGUGAUAAACUAAGUGUCCAGUGUGUUUGUUACGCUUACGUUUUCUGGGGGGAAAUGCCGACGUCGUAAAUGGUUUUU
RNAcentral lists this long non-coding RNA (574 nucleotides) under Mytilus galloprovincialis (Mediterranean mussel). Lineage: Eukaryota; Metazoa; Mollusca; Bivalvia; Mytilida; Mytilidae. The record is from RNAcentral.